UCAUAUGAUGAACUACAAGAAAAUUCGAUUAGUCUUGAAGACAUACCUCAUGGUUACAAAGCCUUUUUUCAACUGAGC
RNAcentral lists this small nucleolar RNA (78 nucleotides) under Neurospora crassa. RNAcentral's name for it is "box C/D snoRNA CD39". The record is from RNAcentral. Lineage: Eukaryota; Fungi; Ascomycota; Sordariomycetes; Sordariales; Sordariaceae.